Molecule: ribosomal RNA, 265 nt
Filed under: uncultured bacterium
Lineage: Bacteria
Description: partial 16S ribosomal RNA
Rfam family: Bacterial small subunit ribosomal RNA
Source: RNAcentral
GUCCACGCCGUAAACGAUGCAUACUAGACGUAUGGGGUAUCGACCCCCUGUGCGUCGCAGCUAACGCGAUAAGUAUGCCGCCUGGGAAGUACGGCCGCAAGGCUAAAACUCAAAGGAAUUGACGGGGACCCCGCACAAGCAGAGGAGGAUGUGGUUUAAUAUGACGCUACGCGUAGAACCUUACCGAGGCUUGACAUCUUAGGAACCUACUGGAAACAGUGGGGUGCCUUCGGGAGCCUAAUGACAGGUGCUGCAUGGCCGUCGU